Molecule: ribosomal RNA, 253 nt
Filed under: uncultured bacterium
Lineage: Bacteria
Description: partial 16S ribosomal RNA
Rfam family: Bacterial small subunit ribosomal RNA
Source: RNAcentral
UACGUAGGUGGCAAGCGUUGUCCGGAUUUACUGGGUGUAAAGGGCGUGUAGCCGGGCUUACAAGUCAGAUGUGAAAUCCGGGGGCUCAACCCCCGAACUGCAUUUGAAACUGUAGGUCUUGAGUAUCGGAGAGGCAGGCGGAAUUCCUAGUGUAGCGGUGAAAUGCGUAGGUAUUAGGAGGAACACCAGUGGCGAAGGCGGCCUGCUGGACGACAACUGACGGUGAGGCGCGAAAGCGUGGGGAGCAAACAGG